GCGCCAGUAGCUCAGCUGGUAGAGCAGCUGACUCUUAAUCAGUUGGUCGUGGGUUCGAAUCCUACCUGGCGCACCA
Molecule: transfer RNA, 76 nt
Filed under: Thermanaeromonas toyohensis ToBE
Lineage: Bacteria; Bacillati; Bacillota; Clostridia; Neomoorellales; Neomoorellaceae
Description: tRNA_Lys
Rfam family: tRNA
About the family: Transfer RNA (tRNA) molecules are approximately 80 nucleotides in length. Their secondary structure includes four short double-helical elements and three loops (D, anti-codon, and T loops).
Source: RNAcentral